GACGAACGCUGGCGGCGUGCUUAACACAUGCAAGUCGAACGGAAAGGCCCUGCUUUUGUGGGGUGCUCGAGUGGCGAACGGGUGAGUAACACGUGAGUAACCUGCCCUUGACUUUGGGAUAACUUCAGGAAACUGGGGCUAAUACCGGAUAGGAGCUCCUGCUGCAUGGUGGGGGUUGGAAAGUUUCGGCGGUUGGGGAUGGACUCGCGGCUUAUCAGCUUGUUGGUGGGGUAGUGGCUUACCAAGGCUUUGACGGGUAGCCGGCCUGAGAGGGUGACCGGCCAGAUUGGGACAGAGAUACGGCCGAGACUCCUACGGGAGGCAGCAGUGGGGAAUAGUGCACAAUGGGCGGAAGCCUGAUGCAGCAACGCCGCGUGCGGGAUGACGGCCUUCGGGUUGUAAACCGCUUUCGCCUGUGACGAAGCGUGAGAGACGGUAAUGGGUAAAGAAGCACCGGCAAAAUAUGUG
Molecule: ribosomal RNA, 468 nt
Filed under: uncultured bacterium
Lineage: Bacteria
Description: partial 16S ribosomal RNA
Rfam family: Bacterial small subunit ribosomal RNA
Source: RNAcentral